This 376-nucleotide ribosomal RNA is filed under the name uncultured bacterium. RNAcentral describes it as "bacterial SSU rRNA". It matches the Rfam family "Bacterial small subunit ribosomal RNA", at positions 28 to 412 of the family's 1533-position model. The record is from RNAcentral.
GACGAACGCUGGCGGCGUGCCUAACACAUGCAAGUCGAACGGGACCCGCAAGGGUUCGAGUGGCGAACGGGUGCGUAACACGUGAAGAAUCUGUCUAUCGGCGGGGGAUAGCCGGCCCAACGGCCGGGUAAUACCGCGUACGCUCGCGAGGGGCAUCCCCAUGCGAGGAAAGCAGCAAUGCACCGAUAGAGGACUUCGCGGCCUAUCAGCUAGUUGGCGGGGUAAUGGCCCACCAAGGCAACGACGGUAGCUGGUCUGAGAGGAUGACCAGCCACAUUGGGACUGAGACACGGCCCAGACUCCUACGGGAGGCAGCAGUGGGGAAUAUUGCGCAAUGGGGGAAACCCUGACGCAGCGACGCCGCGUGUGGGAUGAC